Molecule: ribosomal RNA, 311 nt
Filed under: uncultured bacterium
Lineage: Bacteria
Description: bacterial SSU rRNA
Rfam family: Bacterial small subunit ribosomal RNA
Source: RNAcentral
GGCUAACUACGUGCCAGCAGCCGCGGUAAUACGUAGGUGGCAAGCGUUGUCCGGAGUUUAUUGGGCGUAAAGCGAGCGCAGGCCGGGUUUUUAAGGUUCUUGAUGUGAAAGACCUUCGGCUCAACCGAAGAAAGUAGCAUCGGAAACUACGGGAAACGUUAGAGUGCAGAAGAGGACAGUGGAACUCCAUGUGUAGCGGUGAAAUGCGUAGAUAUAUGGAAGAACACCAGUGGCGAAGGCGGCUGUCUGGUCUGUAACUGACGCUGAGGCUCGAAAGUAUGGGUAGCAAACAGGAUUAGAUACCCUGGUAG